This 497-nucleotide ribosomal RNA is filed under the name uncultured bacterium. RNAcentral describes it as "partial 16S ribosomal RNA". It matches the Rfam family "Bacterial small subunit ribosomal RNA", at positions 28 to 507 of the family's 1533-position model. The record is from RNAcentral.
GAUGAACGCUGGCGGCGUGCCUAAUACAUGCAAGUCGAGCGAACAGACGAGGAGCUUGCUCCUCUGACGUUAGCGGCGGACGGGUGAGUAACACGUGGAUAGCCUACCUAUAAGACUGGGAUAACUUCGGGAAACCGGAGCUAAUACCGGAUAAUAUAUUGAACCGCAUGGUUCAAUAGUGAAAGACGGUUUUGCUGUCACUUAUCGAUGGAUCCGCGCCGCAUUAGCUAGUUGGUAAGGUAACGGCUUACCAAGGCGACGAUGCGUAGCCGACCUGAGAGGGUGAUCGGCCACACUGGAACUGAGACACGGUCCAGACUCCUACGGGAGGCAGCAGUAGGGAAUCUUCCGCAAUGGGCGAAAGCCUGACGGAGCAACGCCGCGUGAGUGAUGAAGGUCUUCGGAUCGUAAAACUCUGUUAUUAGGGAAGAACAAAUGUGUAAGUAACUAUGCACGUCUUGACGGUACCUAAUCAGAAAGCCACGGCUAACUACGUG